This is a long non-coding RNA of Acanthaster planci (crown-of-thorns starfish), 3803 nucleotides long. The record is from RefSeq and is a predicted model, not a curated record. Lineage: Eukaryota; Metazoa; Echinodermata; Asteroidea; Valvatida; Acanthasteridae.
CCACCAUUUAUGACACGCCGAACAGAGAAUUUCCUAGACAAAUCGCCAUAAUUUUGCCAUUGUUUUUGUGUACAUUUGGACAGCUCAGGAAAUUGAACCACCACCACCAAGGUCAAGUUACCAAGUUCUAGCUACCACACCGCAAAGUUGCCACAUCACCUUAGCGUCACCACAUCUGUUGUAAACCCCCUCACCACUGCCAGUCACUUCUAUAUUUUGCCACGCCAUAAAUUGCCAUACCAGAGUUUUCCUUGCCAUGAAACUGCAAUACAUUAUCCACCCAAAUUGUGUCACAGGAUUGAAACUUCAUUUGCUACUGUUAGUCGUUAAAGUAACACUGGUUUAUUUUACAUCAUCUGAAAUUGGUGCGUGUCAUUGCUGAGCAUUUCAAGUUUCGAUGAUCUGUAGUGCAGAGGCUAUAUGUACAUGUAUAUGUACAGUGUGGUAGUUACUGUAUGUGCAUGAGUACACGUAAACAUUUGUACAUGCACUGGUAUUGCUGUACAUGUAGGGACAUGUACAUGUAUGCACAGAUACAUGUUUACACUUUUAAAUGGUUAUAGCAUUCUUUGGAGCUGCAUUUUUUAGAGAUCAUCAAAUUUAUUAUACUACUGAUUUAACACUUAGGCUGAGGUCUCUGACAUGGCAUGGGGGAGUAAUCCCUGCAGAUGAAAUCUGGUUGAAGUUUGGUGGUGACAAGGGAGGAAACUUUUUUAAGCUUUGCUUCCAAAUUGUCAAUACUUCACAUCCAAAUUCCCUGAAUAAAAUGUAGUUUUAGCCUGCUUUGAAGCCCCAGAUUCUAGUGCAAAUCUGCAGCAUCUUGCUCCCAUCUUGGAUCAGAUGACUUCUCUUCAGAGCCUUACGUGGAGGUAAAUCAGAUUUGUUUGCAUUUGUAUGUUUGAAAAACUUUACAUGUACAUGUAAAACUACAUGUAAUAUACAUGUACAAGUACAUGUGUACACUAAAUGUUAAUGCAUACGUGGAUAUUGGCAGUUGAUGAAAGUGUAUCAGGUAUGAUCAUUUCCCUGACUAUCAUGUCACUGUGCAGUUACGGUCUUUUGUACAGUUAUGGUAUCAUGUAUCAUGUGAUGUGAUAAAUGUAUAUGUACCUGUACAUGCAUAUACCUGUACAUAAAACUGUGCAGUAAAAGACUGGCUUUUUAUCUCUAACGGAAAGAAAAAAGUAUGUCUCUUCGAAUUUGCAGACUAUGAACUUCCGACAAAAUUUUACGGGAUUUGCAGUUGCAACGGUAAGAUUUUGUGUUUUGUUAUUUGUAUGAUUACUGUGUCACUGUUCCAUUUUUAAAUCCCUGAAAAUGCAUCUAUUUGGAGUAAUAAAAUGUUUUUAUUUCUUUUUUCACAGCUCGUUACUGUUGCCUGUAUUGUCACACAUCAAAGCAACAAAUGCAGGUGCCCACUCAUGAGAGAGAUACCCUAGUCAAGCCCCGAACAGUAGACACAUUGGCCUAUGAUUUUCAAGUCUACAUGGAGGAUAUAUCAUACAAAAGCCAUGCGAAGGUCAUCUCUCACCAGGUCAAGGUCAUGUGUGCAAUGUUAACUUCUAAUCCAAAACUGUCUUGAAUGCCUGUAAAUAAAAAUAUUUAAUGUGGAAUUGAACUAGCCUUAUUGCAAAUUGUGUUGGUAACUUUCUUUCAAAAGAAAGUCUUAAAAUUUUACUCAUUGUAUCUCUUAUGACAUAUGAAUUCAAUUUUUAUGGAGUGCCUUGGUUUCUUUCGAAUGCAUGUACAUGUAUGUUGUAUCGCCAACACUCCAUAUAUCCCUUGAGGUAUACAAGAAAUUGUUUGACAUAUUUGAGAGUGGAUGCCAUGCAAUUGAGUUGAAGCUGUACAAAGUAUCGAGCACACAAUGAGGAAGAGGACUCGCUUCAAGAGAACACCAAUUUUGAUGAACAGGUUGCUGCUGAGUGUGCAUGAUAACAGAAACUUGACAAGGAAAAGGCCGGAAUGGACGUGAAGCUCACAGCUUGAAGAGAAAUUACCUCCUCAAGUACUCUAGAACAACUUGAAAGAUUCCAAUUAAGCAUUUCAGGGAAUGGCAAAUAAGGAAACUGGUACGCUUGAUCUACCGUAUGGCACUGGUCCUAUAGCCGGCUGCUAGGACAAAGUCCUUCGGAAGCAUCACGUAUGCAGACAAGCUUACCGUGAAAGGCUUUGUGAGAAAUCUUGCCCACAAGUGUUACCAGGUGCACGUCAUCACUGACCUUACCUCUGCACCAUCGGAACUAAUGAACAACCUUCCAUGUCACACUCUCCCACUGGGACGCCAUCAAGCUUUGAUUUAAGAGACGGCGGCCCCGGGCGAAGAUUUCACGAUAUCUUUUCAAAGUUUGCUGCUGUUUAAAGUGCACUCAACCACACUCGAGCAGUUACACCUGCAGACUUGGAUCACACUGAUAUGACACAUUAUGCUUGUCUCUUAGUCCUAAGACUCGAGACUACCGUUUACAAUUUCUAAAUACCUGUAUUUAUUUUCUUUGACAGAUAAGUGUAUCAAGGAGUUUAUGGCCACAUACAGAGGAAUGUUGCCACAGGAAUCCAUUACCCCGAAGAUGUAUCUCCUUGAAAACCAUGCCUUGUAGCAGCUUUCCAGAUUCGGAUUUGGGUUUGGGCUGUGAAACGAACAAGGCGGUGAAUUGAUCCAUACGGAAUUCAACCUAACAGGUCGUGUAGUUCAUGGCAUCAAAGAUCAUGUUAAGCGUCUUCUGACUACCAUGAGAAGACACCACACCAGUACGCUUUCCGUAAUUCAAGCUCAAGUAGCUUGCAAAGUGAAAGGAAUAAAGAGGAGUAAUGGAGAUUUGUUUCAAAUGUAAUGUAAAUAAUGUGACAAAAAUAUGCUUUUUGCAGUGUAUUGAUUAGCCCAAUACUGACACAUUUCAUCUGAUUUAAGGUUAAAGAUCAGUUUCAUAAGAUAUGCCACAGGCAAAAAAUGGGAUUUGCAGUUGUAAUCAGAAUACAUGUACCUUAUCAUUAGCCUGACUGGUACACGCAUAUGUACAUGUACGUGUAGUGCUAAUCUAGAUUAUCAUGCUCCACAUUUGAAUACACACAGAUAACUGUUCACACAAAGGGUACCUAGAAUGGAUGGCAAAAAUUGAACUUAAAACAUUCAGGACGAAACUGCAGAAAAAAAUGGAACACGAGUCAUUUAUAUUGCAGUGAUAGGACAUGUGCAUACGUGUAUUCAGGACAUGUUCAGUGGCACUGGUUGGUCAAUAAUCCCUAAGCCUACAUUUUGUUCAUGUGAAGAGGUAUAUUUCAAUUGAAAAAAUAAACAGGUUGACAUGAAGUUCGAAACACAUAAUAACAUUUCUACAUUUUUCUUUUUAAAUCAUGUCUCCUAUAUGCAGGCUGGCCUACAUCAAACUUCGGGACCCCCCACUCCCAAGUUUCCCCCAAACCAUAGGCAGUGUUGUCUGAACUGCACUAACCCGGUGUGGGGGAGACUUGGAUGUGUAAAUAUUGAGAAAUUCUGACUUUCCUACUGAUAAACCAGCCCGGUAAAUUUGAAUACUCCGUGGUGUAUUUCAUGUUUUAAAGCACAGUUCCCCUCAUAUGCAUGUACAUUUGUAUUACCAUCAAAGCUAAAAUCUGUGCCCUCUCUUCACAUCAUCAACCCUAUCCAACAUGUCACAGUCAUCUACGUGUACAAGUACCAAGGGGCGUCCACAAGUUACAAUGUAGGCUUAGAUUUUCCUUCGUUUAAGCAACGGCGUACCCAAAUUAAAUAUUCCCACCGCCCAUGCCCCACCGAGUAUUAACGUUGAACCCAUACACGUACA